GAUGAAGAACGUAGCGAAAUGCGAUAAGUAAUGUGAAUUGCAGAAUUCAGUGAAUCAUCGAAUCUUUGAACGCACAUUGCGCCCGCCAGUAUUCUGGCGGGCAUGCCUGUUCGAGCGUCAUUACAACCCUCAGGCCCCCGGGCCUGGCGUUGGGGAUCGGCGGAGCCCCCCGUGGGCACACGCCGUCCCCCAAAUGCAGUGGCGGUCCCGCCGCAGCUUCCAUCGCGUAGUAGCUAACACCUCGCGACUGGCGAGCGGCGCGGCCACGCCGUAAAACACCCAACUCUUCUGAAGUUGACCUCGAAUCAGGUAGGAAUACCCGCUGAACUUAAGCAUAUCAAUAAGCGGAGGA
RNAcentral lists this unclassified non-coding RNA (352 nucleotides) under soil metagenome. RNAcentral's name for it is "partial contains 5.8S ribosomal RNA, internal transcribed spacer 2, and large subunit ribosomal RNA". The stretch from base 1 to 120 matches the Rfam family "5.8S ribosomal RNA", at positions 35 to 154 of the family's 154-position model. The record is from RNAcentral.